CUACGGGAUGCUCCAGUAAGGAAUAUUGGUCAAUGGACGGAAGUCUGAACCAGCCAUGCCGCGUGGAGGAUGAAGGUCCUCUGGAUUGUAAACUUCUUUUAUAGGGGGCGAAAAAAGGCCAUUCUUGGUCGUCUGACGGUACCCUAUGAAUAAGCACCGGCUAACUCCGUGCCAGCAGCCGCGGUAAUACGGAGGGUGCAAGCGUUAUCCGGAUUCACUGGGUUUAAAGGGAGCGUAGGCGGGCAUGUAAGUCCGUGGUGAAAGCCCUCAGCUUAACUGAGGAACUGCCAUGGAUACUAUAUGUCUUGAAUGAUGUGGAGGUUUGCGGAAUAGGUCAUGUAGCGGUGAAAUGCUUAGAUAUGACCUAGAACACCUAUUGCGAAGGCAGCAGGCUACACAUAAAUUGACGCUGAGGCUCGAAAGCGUGGGGAUCAAACAGGAUUAGAUACCCCCGUAGUC
Molecule: ribosomal RNA, 459 nt
Filed under: uncultured bacterium
Lineage: Bacteria
Description: partial 16S ribosomal RNA
Rfam family: Bacterial small subunit ribosomal RNA
Source: RNAcentral